This 221-nucleotide ribosomal RNA is filed under the name uncultured Paenibacillus sp. Its description in RNAcentral is "partial 16S ribosomal RNA". It matches the Rfam family "Bacterial small subunit ribosomal RNA", at positions 1162 to 1382 of the family's 1533-position model. Lineage: Bacteria; Bacillati; Bacillota; Bacilli; Caryophanales; Paenibacillaceae. The record is from RNAcentral.
GUCGGAGGAAGUGGGGAUGACGUCAAAUCAUCAUGCCCCUUAUGACCUGGGCUACACACGUGCUACAAUGGGCGGUACAAAGGGUCGCGAACCCGCGAGGGGGAGCCAAUCCCAAAAAAGCCGCUCUCAGUUCGGAUUGCAGGCUGCAACUCGCCUGCAUGAAGCCGGAAUCGCUAGUAAUCGCGGAUCAGCAUGCCGCGGUGGAUACGUUCCCGGGCCUU